CCUACGGGAGGCUGCAGUGAGGAAUAUUGGUCAAUGGACGAGAGUCUGAACCAGCCAAGUAGCGUGAAGGAUGACUGCCCUAUGGGUUGUAAACUUCUGUUAUAAAGGAAUAAAACGAGGCACGUGGGCCUUUUUGCAUGUACUUUAUGAAUAAGGAUCGGCUAACUCCGUGCCAGCAGCCGCGGUAAUACGGAGGAUCCGAGCGUUAUCCGGAUUGAUUGGGUUUAAAGGGAGCGUAGAUGGGUUGUUAAGUCAGUGGUGAAAGUUUGCGGCUCACCCGGCAAAGUGCAAUUGUUACUGGCAGUCUUGAGUACAGUUGCGGUAGGCGGCCUUCGUGGUGUAGCGGU
Molecule: ribosomal RNA, 347 nt
Filed under: uncultured bacterium
Lineage: Bacteria
Description: partial 16S ribosomal RNA
Rfam family: Bacterial small subunit ribosomal RNA
Source: RNAcentral